Molecule: unclassified non-coding RNA, 290 nt
Filed under: fungal sp.
Lineage: Eukaryota; Fungi
Description: partial internal transcribed spacer region
Rfam family: Eukaryotic small subunit ribosomal RNA (bases 1-46)
Source: RNAcentral
AAGUCGUAACAAGGUAUCCGUAGGUGAACCUGCGGAUGGAUCAUUAUCACGUAUCCACGUAUCAACCAUUGUGAACUGUUUUAUAUAGUAUUUUUGUUUUUUUUUAGUUCCUGGAAGAUGUUUCGGCAUCAACUGAGAAUUAAUUAUAAAAAACAAUUAAUAUUAUAUUAUUUUUAUUAACAAUUUAAACCAUAACUUUAUAAUUUUUGACUUACUUAUUUUAUACUCUUCGGAGAUAAAAUUCAUUACGAAACAAAGAACAACUCUUAGCAACGGAUAUCUUGGUUCUC